CAGUAGCCGCGGUAACACGAAAGGUGCAAGCGUUAAUCGGAAUUACUGGGCGUAAAGCGUGCGUAGGCGGUGAGUUAAGUCUGCUGUGAAAUCCCCGGGCUCAACCUGGGAAUGGCAGUGGAUACUGGCUCGCUAGAGUGUGUCAGAGGAUGGUGGAAUUCCCGGUGUAGCGGUGAGAUGCGUAGAGAUCGGGAGGAACAUCAGUGGCGAAGGCGGCCAUCUGGGACAACACUGACGCUGAGGCACGAAAGCGUGGGGAGCAAACAGGAUUAGAUACCCCCGUAGUCCCUGUCUCUUAUAC
This 301-nucleotide ribosomal RNA is filed under the name uncultured bacterium. RNAcentral describes it as "partial 16S ribosomal RNA". It matches the Rfam family "Bacterial small subunit ribosomal RNA", at positions 509 to 807 of the family's 1533-position model. The record is from RNAcentral.